RNAcentral lists this ribosomal RNA (499 nucleotides) under uncultured bacterium. RNAcentral's name for it is "bacterial SSU rRNA". It matches the Rfam family "Bacterial small subunit ribosomal RNA", at positions 31 to 507 of the family's 1533-position model. The record is from RNAcentral.
GAACGCUGGCGGCGUGCCUAAUACAUGCAAGUCGAGCGGAAUGAUGAAGAAGCUUGCUUCUUCUGAUUUUAGCGGCGGACGGGUGAGUAACACGUGGGCAACCUACCUUGUAGACUGGGAUAACUCCGGGAAACCGGAGCUAAUACGGGAUGAUCAUUUGAAUCGCAUGAUUGAAAUGUAAAAGUGGGGAGUAAUCCUCACACUAUGAGAUGGGCCCGCGGCGCAUUAGCUAGUUGGUAGGGUAAUGGCCUACCAAGGCGACGAUGCGUAGCCGACCUGAGAGGGUGAUCGGCCACACUGGGACUGAGACACGGCCCAGACUCCUACGGGAGGCAGCAGUAGGGAAUCUUCCACAAUGGACGAAAGUCUGAUGGAGCAACGCCGCGUGAGUGAAGAAGGUUUUCGGAUCGUAAAACUCUGUUGUAAGGGAAGAACACGUACGAGAGUAACUGCUCGUACCUUGACGGUACCUUAUUAGAAAGCCACGGCUAACUACGUG